RNAcentral lists this ribosomal RNA (670 nucleotides) under uncultured bacterium. Its description in RNAcentral is "bacterial SSU rRNA". It matches the Rfam family "Bacterial small subunit ribosomal RNA", at positions 94 to 802 of the family's 1533-position model. The record is from RNAcentral.
AGCGGCGGACGGGUGAGUAACGCGUGGGAAUAUGCCCUUCUCUAAGGAAUAGCCUCGGGAAACUGAGAGUAAUACCUUAUACGCCCUUCGGGGGAAAGAUUUAUCGGAGAAGGAUUAGCCCGCGUUAGAUUAGGUAGUUGGUGGGGUAAUGGCCUACCAAGCCUACGAUCUAUAGCUGGUUUGAGAGGAUGAUCAGCCACACUGGGACUGAGACACGGCCCAGACUCCUACGGGAGGCAGCAGUAGGGAAUCUUAGACAAUGGGGGAAACCCUGAUCUAGCCAUGCCGCGUGUGUGAUGAAGGCCUUAGGGUCGUAAAGCACUUUCGCCAGAGAUGAUAAUGACAGUAUCUGGUAAAGAAACCCCGGCUAACUCCGUGCCAGCAGCCGCGGUAAUACGGAGGGGGUUAGCGUUGUUCGGAAUUACUGGGCGUAAAGCGCACGUAGGCGGAUUAGUAAGUUAGAGGUGAAAUCCCAGGGCUCAACCCUGGAACUGCCUUUAAUACUGCUAGUCUUGAGUUCGAGAGAGGUAAGUGGAAUUCCGAGUGUAGAGGUGAAAUUCGUAGAUAUUCGGAGGAACACCAGUGGCGAAGCGGCUUACUGGCUCGAUACUGACGCUGAGUGCGAAAGUGUGGGGAGCAAACAGGAUUAGAUACCCUGCUAGUCACACGA